This is a non-coding RNA of Chrysemys picta bellii (western painted turtle), 931 nucleotides long. Lineage: Eukaryota; Metazoa; Chordata; Testudines; Emydidae. The record is from RefSeq and is a predicted model, not a curated record.
CCAUCACUACCCAGAUUAAGGCUUUGCAGACACUUGAUGUGUCAAAGAGACUUUCAUAAUUCAGAGUAGACCAACUGACAACCAAUGUGACUGGAAGUAGUUUCAGCUCCUGCUUCACUGAACAAUGGAGAGAAAGAAGGUGUACAUAUGUGUGCAUAGCGUCUGAGCACCCAUUGGAAGAGGAUGGACUACAUGAAGUCAGUGCUGGAUUCUUGGAUGAAGACUCCAUCGAGGGCCAGACCACAUGUCCACAGCCAAUUUGCUGCAUCCCUCUGGCCCCUCACAUACUUCUUCAUCCCAAGUGAAGGCUUCUUAUCUGUCACAAAGGCACAUCAAUCCUCACCCAGCAGAUAAUUCUGGGACCACCUUCCUCCUGACCUGAGAGAACAGCAUUUCAAUGAGACAAAGUCCAACCAUUCAGCAAGUGUGGAUCCAGUCAUUGAAAAACACUUCCACAGCCAAAGAGCUGUGUCCUGCGUAGACCUCCAUCAACUCUGAGUGUAAAAUACUCUGGGAGUGCUUAAGCCUUCAGUCUUGGACCCACUUUUCUAGGUCAUGGGGCUCCUCUUCAGAGAGGAAAACAGAAGGGAGUCAGGACAGAAAAUGAAUUAAUCACCUUGCUAGUCUGAUGACAGCUUCACUGUCUGUAUUUCACUGUAGACUAUAGGGCAGGCUCAAGGUGAGGAAGACAACUACUAUGAUAAUAGUGUCUUUAUAAAGGCAUUUCUACUGUCCAGUAGUGGGAAGGGGGAACUGCCAGCUCUUCUGAAGACCCCAAUAAACACUUGUAAGGAGAAUAGUCCUUAAGAUUCAUUGCCUCUGAGUAAUGUCAUGUCUCAUCCCUGAUCAGAUGGAGUUUUCACUCUUCGGGACCAAGGGCAACAGCAGGAGCCCUGUUCCCCAAUUUGGUUUGAAAUUUAUGCUGACGAAA